This 448-nucleotide ribosomal RNA is filed under the name uncultured bacterium. RNAcentral's name for it is "partial 16S ribosomal RNA". It matches the Rfam family "Bacterial small subunit ribosomal RNA", at positions 331 to 796 of the family's 1533-position model. The record is from RNAcentral.
CCAGACUCCUACGGGAGGCAGCAGUGGGGAAUUUUGCGCAAUGGGGGAAACCCUGACGCAGCAACGCCGCGUGCGGGACGAAGGCCCUCGGGUCGUAAACCGCUUUCAGCAGGGAAGACCUUACGACGGUAUCUGCAGAAGAAGCUCCGGCUAACUACGUGCCAGCAGCCGCGGUAAUACGUAGGGGGCGAGCGUUAUCCGGAUUCAUUGGGCGUAAAGCGCGCGUAGGCGGCCGCCUAAGCGGAACCUCUAACCCCGGGGCUCAACCGCGGGCCGGGUUCCGGACUGGGCGGCUCGAGUGCGGUAGAGGAGAGCGGAAUUCCCGGUGUAGCGGUGGAAUGCGCAGAUAUCGGGAAGAACACCGAUGGCGAAGGCAGCUCUCUGGGCCGUCACUGACGCUGAGGCACGAAAGCGUGGGGAUCGAACAGGAUUAGAUACCCCCGUAACU